UACGUAGGUGACCAGCGUUGUCCGGAUUUACUGGGCGUAAAGCGUGCGCAGGCGGUUCGUUGUGUCGGCGGUGAAAGCCCCGGGCUCAACCUGGGAAUGGCCAUGGAAACUGGCGAACUGGAGUGUGGCAGAGGGGGGUGGAAUUCCGCGUGUAGCAGUGAAAUGCGUAGAGAUGCGGAGGAACACCGAUGGCGAAGGCAGCCCCCUGGGCUAGCACUGACGCUCAGGCACGAAAGCGUGGGGAGCAAACAGG
This 253-nucleotide ribosomal RNA is filed under the name uncultured bacterium. RNAcentral's name for it is "partial 16S ribosomal RNA". It matches the Rfam family "Bacterial small subunit ribosomal RNA", at positions 524 to 776 of the family's 1533-position model. The record is from RNAcentral.